ACUGCGGUGGUGUAGUGGUUAACGCUCCAGACUUUAAUCUUUGGGGGGUCUCAGGUUCGAUGCCUUGCGUCUGUU
Meloidogyne enterolobii is the source of this 75-nucleotide non-coding RNA. The record is from the annotation of a GenBank genome assembly. Lineage: Eukaryota; Metazoa; Nematoda; Chromadorea; Rhabditida; Meloidogynidae.